Candidatus Omnitrophica bacterium CG1_02_43_210 is the source of this 76-nucleotide non-coding RNA. The record is from Rfam. NCBI's taxonomy places the organism in Bacteria, Pseudomonadati, Candidatus Omnitrophota.
GGGGGCGUAGCUUAGUCCGGCUUAAAGCGUCAGAUUGUCGAUCUGAAGAUCGUGGGUCCGAAUCCCAUCGCCCUCG